This 254-nucleotide ribosomal RNA is filed under the name uncultured bacterium. Its description in RNAcentral is "partial 16S ribosomal RNA". It matches the Rfam family "Bacterial small subunit ribosomal RNA", at positions 524 to 776 of the family's 1533-position model. The record is from RNAcentral.
UACAGAGGGUGCGAGCGUUGUCCGGAAUCACUGGGCGUAAAGGGCGCGUAGGCGGUGACUUAAGCGUGUGGUGAAAGCUCGGGGCUCAACCCCGAGUCGGCCGUGCGAACUGGGUCACUGGAGCAGAUCAGAGGCGGGCGGAAUUCCGGGUGUAGCGGUGGAAUGCGUAGAGAUCCGGAAGAACACCGGUGGCGAAGGCGGCCCGCUGGGAUCUGGCUGACGCUGAGGCGCGACAGCGUGGGGGAGCAAACAGG